Molecule: ribosomal RNA, 467 nt
Filed under: uncultured bacterium
Lineage: Bacteria
Description: partial 16S ribosomal RNA
Rfam family: Bacterial small subunit ribosomal RNA
Source: RNAcentral
GACGAACGCUGGCGGCGUGCUUAACACAUGCAAGUCGAACGGAAAGGCCCUGCUUUUGUGGGGUGCUCGAGUGGCGAACGGGUGAGUAACACGUGAGUAACCUGCCCUUGACUUUGGGAUAACUUCAGGAAACUGGGGCUAAUCCGGAUAGGAGCUCCUGCUGCAUGGUGGGGGUUGGAAAGUUUCGGCGGUUGGGGAUGGACUCGCGGCUUAUCAGCUUGUUGGUGGGGUAGUGGCUUACCAAGGCUUUGACGGGUAGCCGGCCUGAGAGGGUGACCGGCCACAUUGGGACUGAGAUACGGCCCAGACUCCUACGGGAGGCAGCAGUGGGGAAUAUUGCACAAUGGGCGGAAGCCUGAUGCAGCAACGCCGCGUGCGGGAUGACGGCCUUCGGGUUGUAAACCGCUUUCGCCUGUGACGAAGCGUGAGUGACGGUAAUGGGUAAAGAAGCACCGGCUAACUACGUG